UCCGGGCUAUUGUCGAUGAAUCGAACCGCUCCCUUUUCUACGUACACGGCUCCCUAAGGCAGAUGUCUGGUUUUAUGCUGAUUUGAAUAAGCUGGGAUAUUCUAUUGAAACAGCGGAUAAUAAGCCGUCAUGAGCGACGAAGAAGCCGAUAUUCUGGAAAUACGCGGCCAUGUGAUCGACCCAGGGAUCUACUGGGACCCAGCCCGCGAGGUCCAUUCCGUGGACGUGUAUACUGGUAUCGAGCUUUAUCAGCACCUUAAGCUGCCAGUAGGAGAUGACCGGGAGUUACGGCGGAUGCUGGAAGAAAGCUUCCGAGAAAAGAAAAGGAUGACAAUUGAAUAUCUCAUUAAAAACAAAACAAUUUUGACCGUCAAAUAUCGAUAAAACAUCCUUACUGUACAAUUGACAUAUCAUCGAUGCUUACAGGAGAAAGCAAAUAAAAAUAUCUUAUAUUAAUGCCUUUUCAAAA
Molecule: long non-coding RNA, 469 nt
Organism: Exaiptasia diaphana
Lineage: Eukaryota; Metazoa; Cnidaria; Anthozoa; Actiniaria; Aiptasiidae
Exons: 2
Source: RefSeq, a predicted model, not a curated record